This 253-nucleotide ribosomal RNA is filed under the name uncultured bacterium. RNAcentral describes it as "partial 16S ribosomal RNA". It matches the Rfam family "Bacterial small subunit ribosomal RNA", at positions 524 to 776 of the family's 1533-position model. The record is from RNAcentral.
UACGAAGGGGGCUAGCGUUGCUCGGAAUGACUGGGCGUAAAGGGCGCGUAGGCGGUUCGUACAGUCAGACGGUGAAAUUCCCGGGCUCAACCUGGGGGCUGCGUUUGAUACGUGCGGGCUUGAGUUCGGAAGAGGGUCGUGGAAUUCCCAGUGUAGAGGUGAAAUUCGUAGAUAUUGGGAAGAACACCGGUGGCGAAGCGGCGACCUGGUCCGAUACUGACGCUGAGGCGCGAAAGCGUGGGGAGCAAACAGG